This 191-nucleotide unclassified non-coding RNA is filed under the name uncultured Leotiomycetes. RNAcentral describes it as "sequence contains ITS1". Lineage: Eukaryota; Fungi; Ascomycota; Leotiomycetes. The record is from RNAcentral.
GUCUAUGUCGUCCUGGAAACGGGUUACGACGUCGGGUCUCGCCGUAAAAAGUGGGGCUGUCUGAAAACCCUUGAAUAAAAAACUUUGUUGCUUUGGCGGGCCGCCUCUCGAGGCGUUGGCUCACGCUGACUGUGCCCGCCAGAGGCCCAAAACUCUACUGUCUCUGACGUCUGAGUAUUAUAUAAUAGUUA